RNAcentral lists this ribosomal RNA (301 nucleotides) under uncultured bacterium. RNAcentral describes it as "partial 16S ribosomal RNA". It matches the Rfam family "Bacterial small subunit ribosomal RNA", at positions 509 to 807 of the family's 1533-position model. The record is from RNAcentral.
CAGCAGCCACGGGAAUACGGAGGGUGCAAGCGUUAUCCGGAUUCACUGGGUUUAAAGGGUGCGUAGGCGGGCAGGUAAGUCAGUGGUGAAAUCUUCGAGCUUAACUCGGAAACUGCCGUUGAUACUAUCUGUCUUGAAUAACGUUGAGGUGAGCGGAAUAUGUCAUGUAGCGGUGAAAUGCUUAGAUAUGACAUAGAACACCGAUUGCGAAGGCAGCUCACUAAACGCUCAUUGACGCUGAGGCACGAAAGCGUGGGGAUCAAACAGGAUUAGAGACCCCUGUAGUCCCUGUCUCUUAUAC